RNAcentral lists this ribosomal RNA (426 nucleotides) under uncultured bacterium. RNAcentral's name for it is "bacterial SSU rRNA". It matches the Rfam family "Bacterial small subunit ribosomal RNA", at positions 354 to 796 of the family's 1533-position model. The record is from RNAcentral.
GUGAGGAAUUUUCCGCAAUGGGCGAAAGCCUGACGGAGAAAUGCCGCGUGAAGGAUGAAGGCCUAGGGGUUGUAAACUUCUUUUCUCAGAAAAGAAUUAUGACGGUAUCUGAGGAAUAAGCAUCGGCUAACUCUGUGCCAGCAGCCGCGGUAAGACAGAGGAUGCAAGCGUUAUACGGAAUGAUUGGGCGUAAAGCGCCUGUAGGUUGUUUAAAAAGUAUUCUGUCAAAGAUUAGGGCUUAACCCUAGAUAGGCAGAAUAAACUUUUAAGAUAGAGUUUAGUAGAGGCGGAGGGAAUUCCCGGUGGAGCGGUGAAAUGCGUAGAUAUCGGGAGGAACACCAAAGGCGAAGGCACUCUGCUGGGCCAAUACUAACACUGAGAGACGAAAGCGAGGGGAGCAAAUGGGAUUAGAAACCCCUGUAGUCC